CUGUCCUUUCUUUUAAUUUUUUUCACAAAGGAACUUCAAACUUCUCUGGUGGCUUAGGUGGCACCUUCCCUCUUGCAUGGUCUGCCAACUCUCGCCAACUCCUCCUAUGUAUCAAUGUCUGGGAAGCAACUGCUCCUGCUCCUCACCAUGUGAUGUGCAACAUGGGUGUUCAGACACUGGAAUUUUGGCAGACCAGGAGGUUUGCUUUUUUCCUGGAGAUUUCCACCCUGGACUUUUCCUUUGACUUAUGUUCUUACAGGUACCUCAUCUCUACUCACUGAAAUGACAUAUGUUACACAUGGUGAGCUAACACGACGCUUGUUUCUCCAAAACUACUGGCCUACGGAACUGCACAAUGCCCACUGUGGAAGAAGAGCUGGAAGUUUACCAACCUCAGUGUCCAUCCAACUCAGCCAGAUCACCUGGAAUAUUGGGGUCUAUGACCUCCAGGGACCACCAGAGAGACUCCCAGAAUAGAGGAAUCUUUUUGGCAACAGAAAAGCUGGAAGCCAAGAAUAACUUUUAUUUGGCUUGUUCAUAAAAUGUUUGUACCUUGGAAAUGGGCUGAUAAUUUUAUGAAAUCUUCAAAGUAGGAUGCUGAAGUUAUCAGCUGUUAAAGUUUAUGCAAAUAUUUCGCAUGUUUCAGGUGGCUUAGCAUACUUUUUUCCUCCUGUCUAUAAGUCAUAUAUAUAUAUAUAUAUAUAUAUAUAAAUAUUUAGUAAGUGUAGUCCUAAUAUGUGCUGAGGAACUUCAGCAGCAGUUGGUCAUUAAUUAGUAACCACUCAAAAAACACAUUCAGAUUGUUUCUGACAGUCAUUUUCCUAUACAUUUUCCAAGACAUUUUAAUAAUUGUCAUUCUCUCCCAUUUAAAUAAUAAUGUACCAUGCACUGUCAUAUCAAAUAUAUUAUAGAAGUUCAAAUAAAUAACAUCUCUGUAAUGCCUAGUCUCUAAAU
Molecule: long non-coding RNA, 954 nt
Filed under: Parus major (Great Tit)
Lineage: Eukaryota; Metazoa; Chordata; Aves; Passeriformes; Paridae
Description: lncRNA (ENSPMJG00000002812.1)
Source: RNAcentral